This 252-nucleotide ribosomal RNA is filed under the name uncultured bacterium. Its description in RNAcentral is "partial 16S ribosomal RNA". It matches the Rfam family "Bacterial small subunit ribosomal RNA", at positions 524 to 776 of the family's 1533-position model. The record is from RNAcentral.
UACGGGGGGGCAAGCGUUGUUCGGAAUUACUGGGCGUAAAGGGCUCGUAGGCGGCCAACUAAGUCGGACGUGAAAUCCCUCGGCUUAACCGGGGAACUGCGUCCGAUACUGGAUGGCUUGAGUUCGGGAGAGGGAUGCGGAAUUCCAGGUGUAGCGGUGAAAUGCGUAGAUAUCAGGAGGAACACCGAUGGCGAAGGCAGGUCUCUGGGCUGACACUGACGCUCAUGCACGAAAGCGUGGGGAGCAAACAGG